GACGAACGCUGGCGGCGUGCUUAACACAUGCAAGUCGAACGGAAAGGCCCUGCUUUUGUGGGGUGCUCGAGUGGCGAACGGGUGAGUAACACGUGAGUAACCUGCCCUUGACUUUGGGAUAACUUCAGGAAACUGGGGCUAAUACCGGAUAGGAGCUCCUGCUGCAUGGUGGGGGUUGGAAAGUUUCGGCGGUUGGGGAUGGACUCGCGGCUUAUCAGCUUGUUGGUGGGGUAGUGGCUUACCAAGGCUUUGACGGGUAGCCGGCCUGAGAGGGUGACCGGCCACAUUGGACCGGAGAUACGGCCCAGACUCCUACGGGGGGAGGCGGUGGGGAUUAUUGAACAAGGGGCGAAGGCUGGAUGCGGCACCGCGGCGUGCGGGAUAACGCCUUCGGGUUGUAAACCGCUUUCGCCUGUGACGAAGCGUGAGUGACGGUAAUGGGUAAAGAAGCACCGGCUAACUACGUG
Molecule: ribosomal RNA, 467 nt
Filed under: uncultured bacterium
Lineage: Bacteria
Description: partial 16S ribosomal RNA
Rfam family: Bacterial small subunit ribosomal RNA
Source: RNAcentral